Molecule: long non-coding RNA, 1500 nt
Filed under: Felis catus (domestic cat)
Lineage: Eukaryota; Metazoa; Chordata; Mammalia; Carnivora; Felidae
Description: lncRNA (ENSFCAG00000051716.1)
Source: RNAcentral
AGGGGGUGUUCCGGUGUGAUGUUCCGCAAAAACAGGCUCUCUCCAGGCCUUGCUGCCUGUGGGGAGCCAGUCCGGCAGCCGUGACACCCCGAGGUGCUCCCACAGCCCCAGCGGCAUCUCCCAGGGCCUCAGCACCCAGUUGGGUCCCUCCCCCAGCGUCCUUGCCCACCAGCCUCCUUCCUGGGCCAGGCCCGGGGGCUUCUCGGCAGUGGCUCCACCGACCCCAAAUCUGGGCACCCGGAUGCCCUCCAACCCCAGCAUUUGGCGGGAGAUCACAGGAGACCAGCAGAUCACCAAACCGCCAGGAUACAGAGUUUCAAAACAGCCUCUCGGACACUGCCUGAUUUCUACAGAGGCAAUUCCACUGCGUCUCGUCACGCUUUUAUAUUCUAGAAGCACCAGAUAUGGGUUUUCACAAUGCACAUUAAAGCCAUCCAUGUGACAAGCCGCCAAAGACAGGUGUACUUACAGUAACGGAAAAGGGUUGUUUUUUUUUUUUUAACAAGGAAAGGAAGAAAAGAAAGAAAGAAGAAGAAAGAAAGAGAGAAAGAGGAAGGAGGGAGGGAGGGAGGGAGGGAGGGAGGGAGGGAGGGAGGGAGGGAGGGAGGGAGGGAGGGAGGGAAGGAAGGAAGAAAAGAAAGAAGAAAGAAAGAAAGAAGAAGAAAGAAAGAAAGAAGAAAGAAGAAAGAAAAGAAAGAAGAAGAAAGAAAAAAGAAGGAAGGAAAGAAAGCAAGAAAGAAAGAAGAAGAAAGAAAGAAAGAAAGAAAGAAAGAAAAAGAAAAGAAAGAAAAGAAAGAGAAAGAAAGAAAGAAGAAAGAAGAAAGAAGAAAGAAAAAAGAAGAAAGAAAGAAGAAAGAAAGAAAAAAGAAAAGAAAGAAAGAAGAAAGAAAGAAGGAAAGAAAGCAAGAAAGAAAGAAAGAACGAAAGAAAGAAAGAGAAAGAAAGAAAGAAGAAAGAAAGAAAGAAAGAAAGAAGAAGAAAGAAAGAAAGAAAGACAAAGAAAGAGAGAAAGAGGAAGGAGGGAGGGAGGGAGGGAGGGAAGGAAGGAAGAAGGAAAGAAAGAAGAAAGAAAGAAGAAGAAAGAAAGAAGAAGAAAGAAAGAAAGAAAAGAAAAGAAAAAGAAAAAAGAAGAAAGAAGAAAGAAAAAAGAAGGAAGGAAGAAAAGAAAGAGAAAGAAAGAAGGAAAGAAAGAAAGAAAGAAAGAAAGAAAGAAAGAAAGAAAGACAAAGAGAGAAAGAGGAAGGAGGGAGGGAGAGAAGGAAGGAAGAAAGAAAAGAAAGAAAGAAGAAAGAAAGAAGAAAGAAGAAAGAAAAGAAAGAAGAAAGAAAAGAAAAAAGAAAAGAAAGAAGAAAGAAAAAAGAAGGAAGGAAAGAAAGCAAGAAAGAAAGAAAGAAGGAAAGAAAGAAGAAAGAAAACCAGAUGGUUUUUAUUCCUCACCUUCUGGGCCAGAGAGGAAGCAAUACACCUAAUCAGCCAGGUGGUAGGAGGGGCCAUGAGGGA